Molecule: ribosomal RNA, 1370 nt
Filed under: uncultured bacterium
Lineage: Bacteria
Description: bacterial SSU rRNA
Rfam family: Bacterial small subunit ribosomal RNA
Source: RNAcentral
AGAGUUUGAUCCUGGCUCAGGAUGAACGCUGGCGGCGUGCUUAACACAUGCAAGUCGAACGAUUAACCCGCCCUCGGGCGGUUAUAGAGUGGCGAACGGGUGAGUAACACGUGACCAACCUGCCCUGGAGUGGGGGACAACAGUUGGAAACGACUGCUAAUACCGCAUAAGCCCACGGCCCGGCAUCGGGCUGAGGGAAAAGGAUUUAUUCGCUUCAGGAUGGACUCGCGUCCAAUUAGCUAGUUGGUGAGGUAACGGCCCACCAAGGCGACGAUUGGUAGCCGGACUGAGAGGUUGAACGGCCACAUUGGGACUGAGACACGGCCCAGACUCCUACGGGAGGCAGCAGUGGGGGAUAUUGCACAAUGGGGGAAACCCUGAUGCAGCGACGCCGCGUGGAGGAAGAAGGUUUUCGGAUUGUAAACUCCUGUCGUUAGGGACGAUAAUGACGGUACCUAACAAGAAAGCACCGGCUAACUACGUGCCAGCAGCCGCGGUAAAACGUAGGGUGCAAGCGUUGUCCGGAAUUACUGGGUGUAAAGGGAGCGCAGGCGGACCGGCAAGUUGGAAGUGAAAACUAUGGGCUCAACCCAUAAAUUGCUUUCAAAACUGCUGGCCUUGAGUAGUGCAGAGGUAGGUGGAAUUCCCGGUGUAGCGGUGGAAUGCGUAGAUAUCGGGAGGAACACCAGUGGCGAAGGCGACCUACUGGGCACCAACUGACGCUGAGGCUCGAAAGCAUGGGUAGCAAACAGGGAUUAGAUACCCUGGUAGUCCAUGCCGUAAACGAUGAUUACUAGGUGUUGGAGGAUUGACCCCUUCAGUGCCGCAGUUAACACAAUAAGUAAUCCACCUGGGGAGUACGACCGCAAGGUUGAAACUCAAAGGAAUUGACGGGGGCCCGCACAAGCAGUGGAGUAUGUGGUUUAAUUCGAAGCAACGCGAAGAACCUUACCAGGUCUUGACAUCCGAUGCAUAGCGCAGAGAUGCGUGAAGUCCUUCGGGACAUCGAGACAGGUGGUGCAUGGUUGUCGUCAGCUCGUGUCGUGAGAUGUUGGGUUAAGUCCCGCAACGAGCGCAACCCUUAUUGCCAGUUACUACGAAAGAGGACUCUGGCGAGACUGCCGUUGACAAAACGGAGGAAGGUGGGGAUGACGUCAAAUCAUCAUGCCCUUUAUGACCUGGGCUACACACGUACUACAAUGGCGUUUAACAAAGAGAAGCAAGACCGCGAGGUGGAGCAAAACUCAAAAACAACGUCUCAGUUCAGAUUGCAGGCUGCAACUCGCCUGCAUGAAGUCGGAAUUGCUAGUAAUCGCGGAUCAGCAUGCCGCGGUGAAUACGUUCCCGGGCCUUGCACACACCGCCCGUCA